UCCUCCCAUACUGGAAACGAUCCAAACUGUUCUGUGUUUAACGUCUUUUUGGGGCAAUUUGGUUUGAAAGAAACCCACAUUUCUGAUAUACCCCAACGACAACAGGAGGCUGAUUUUCCUGCAACACAUCUACCCGCUCAGCUAUCAGUGGUGUGGACUGAUACCAGUCUGCAUCAUUACACCCAGUCUCUGAGGUCAGACAAACAAGUCUGAGCUGUUUCAACUAUGAGGUGGCGGCAUUCCCCCCGUUUGACGGUUUUGCCGAGUUAAACAUUGGCUGCCUGGUAAAUGAUUGAGCCGACAGCGUUAAAUGAGGUCAAAGCAAAGUUCAGUGAGCUCAUGGUCCCGAUCAUGUUUACUGUGAGAUUAGUGUUCAGCUGAAACUGCCCACGAAACUCAGACCGGACUAUAAUGGUUAACAAAAGGCUUGGCAGCCAAAACGCCACACACAUUUUAAUUUCUUUUGGUGUCACACGGAUCACAGCUAAAUCUGAAACAGCAGUGAUAAGAUGAGUUCCAUGUACCUAGUUGUCAAGACAUCGAUUUUUUAUCAGAUGUAGACAUCCACUGCUGUGGAAUUAAUUGAAUAUGUCACUAAAAACAACUUCUUUGCCAGCCUUCAGGUCACAGUUAAAGAAGUUUAUAGAAAUUUAAA
Molecule: long non-coding RNA, 655 nt
Organism: Sander lucioperca (pikeperch)
Lineage: Eukaryota; Metazoa; Chordata; Actinopteri; Perciformes; Percidae
Exons: 3
Source: RefSeq, a predicted model, not a curated record